UGCAAGUCGAGCGGACAGAUGGGAGCUUGCUCCCUGAUGUUAGCGGCGGACGGGUGAGUAACACGUGGGUAACCUGCCUGUAAGACUGGGAUAACUCCGGGAAACCGGGGCUAAUACCGGAUGCUUGUUUGAACCGCAUGGUUCAGACAUAAAAGGUGGCUUCGGCUACCACUUACAGAUGGACCCGCGGCGCAUUAGCUAGUUGGUGAGGUAACGGCUCACCAAGGCGACGAUGCGUAGCCGACCUGAGAGGGUGAUCGGCCACACUGGGACUGAGACACGGCCCAGACUCCUACGGGAGGCAGCAGUAGGGAAUCUUCCGCAAUGGACGAAAGUCUGACGGAGCAACGCCGCGUGAGUGAUGAAGGUUUUCGGAUCGUAAAGCUCUGUUGUUAGGGAAGAACAAGUGCCGUUCAAAUAGGGCGGCACCUUGACGGUACCUAACCAGAAAGCCACGGCUAACUACGUGCCAGCAGCCGCGGUAAUACGUAGGUGGCAAGCGUUGUCCGGAAUUAUUGGGCGUAAAGGGCUCGCAGGCGGUUUCUUAAGUCUGAUGUGAAAGCCCCCGGCUCAACCGGGGAGGGUCAUUGGAAACUGGGGAACUUGAGUGCAGAAGAGGAGAGUGGAAUUCCACGUGUAGCGGUGAAAUGCGUAGAGAUGUGGAGGAACACCAGUGGCGAAAGCGACUCUCUGGUCUGUAACUGACGCUGAGGAGCGAAAGCGUGGGGAGCGAACAGGAUUAGAUACCCUGGUAGUCCACGCCGUAAACGAUGAGUGCUAAGUGUUUAGGGGGUUUCCGCCCCUUAGUGCUGCAGCUAACGC
RNAcentral lists this ribosomal RNA (822 nucleotides) under Bacillus amyloliquefaciens. Its description in RNAcentral is "bacterial SSU rRNA". It matches the Rfam family "Bacterial small subunit ribosomal RNA", at positions 56 to 858 of the family's 1533-position model. The record is from RNAcentral. Lineage: Bacteria; Bacillati; Bacillota; Bacilli; Caryophanales; Bacillaceae.